This 497-nucleotide ribosomal RNA is filed under the name uncultured bacterium. Its description in RNAcentral is "partial 16S ribosomal RNA". It matches the Rfam family "Bacterial small subunit ribosomal RNA", at positions 28 to 507 of the family's 1533-position model. The record is from RNAcentral.
GACGAACGCUGGCGGCGUGCCUAAUACAUGCAAGUAGAACGCUGAAGAGAGGAGCUUGCUCUUCUUGGAUGAGUUGCGAACGGGUGAGUAACGCGUAGGUAACCUGCCUUGUAGCGGGGGAUAACUAUUGGAAACGAUAGCUAAUACCGCAUAACAAUGGAUGACACAUGUCAUUUAUUUGAAAGGGGCAAUUGCUCCACUACAAGAUGGACCUGCGUUGUAUUAGCUAGUAGGUGAGGUAACGGCUCACCUAGGCGACGAUACAUAGCCGACCUGAGAGGGUGAUCGGCCACACUGGGACUGAGACACGGCCCAGACUCCUACGGGAGGCAGCAGUAGGGAAUCUUCGGCAAUGGGGGCAACCCUGACCGAGCAACGCCGCGUGAGUGAAGAAGGUUGUCGGAUCGUAAAGCUCUGUUGUAAGUCAAGAACGAGUGUGAGAGUGGAAAGUUCACACUGUGACGGUAGCUGACCAGAAAGGGACGGCUAACUACGUG